GACGAACGCUGGCGGCGUGCUUAACACAUGCAAGUCGAACGGAAAGGCCCUGCUUUUGUGGGGUGCUCGAGUGGCGAACGGGUGAGUAACACGUGAGUAACCUGCCCUUGACUUUGGGAUAACUUCAGGAAACUGGGGCUAAUACCGGAUAGGAGCUCCUGCUGCAUGGUGGGGGUUGGAAAGUUUCGGCGGUUGGGGAUGGACUCGCGGCUUAUCAGCUUGUUGGUGGGGUAGUGGCUUACCAAGGCUUUGACGGGUAGCCGGCCUGAGAGCGUGACCGGCGACAUUGGGACUGAGAUACGGCCCAGACUCGUACGGGAGGCAGCAGGCGGGAAUAUUGCACAAUGGGCGGAAGCCUGAUGCAGCAACGCCGCGUGCGGGAUGACGGCCUUCGGGGUAUAAACCGCUUUCGCCUGUGACGAAGCGUGAGUGACGGUAAUGGGUAAAGAAGCACCGGCUAACUACGUG
This 468-nucleotide ribosomal RNA is filed under the name uncultured bacterium. RNAcentral describes it as "partial 16S ribosomal RNA". It matches the Rfam family "Bacterial small subunit ribosomal RNA", at positions 28 to 507 of the family's 1533-position model. The record is from RNAcentral.